UAACACAUGCAAGUCGAGCGAGAAAUCUUGAAAUGAAACUUCGGUAGAUUUUUAAGAUGGAAAGCGGCGGACGGGUGAGUAACGCGUGGGUAACCUGCCUUACACUGGGGGAUAACAGUUAGAAAUGACUGCUAAUACCGCAUAAGCGCACAGGGCCGCAUGGUCCGGUGUGAAAAACUCCGGUGGUGUAAGAUGGACCCGCGUCUGAUUAGGUAGUUGGCGGGGUAACGGCCCACCAAGCCGACGAUCAGUAGCCGACCUGAGAGGGUGACCGGCCACAUUGGGACUGAGACACGGCCCAAACUCCUACGGGAGGCAGCAGUGGGGAAUAUUGGACAAUGGGCGAAAGCCUGAUCCAGCGACGCCGCGUGAGUGAAGAAGUAUUUCGGUAUGUAAAGCUCUAUCAGCAGGGAAGAAAAUGACGGUACCUGACUAAGAAGCCCCGGCUAACUACGUGCCAGCAGCCGCGGUAAUACGUAGGGGGCAAGCGUUAUCCGGAUUUACUGGGUGUAAAGGGAGCGUAGACGGUUUAGCAAGUCUGAAGUGAAAGCCCGGGGCUCAACCCCGGUACUGCUUUGGAAACUGUUGGACUUGAGUGCAGGAGAGGUAAGUAGAAUUCCUAGUGUAGCGGUGAAAUGCGUAGAUAUUAGGAGGAACACCAGUGGCGAAGGCGGCUUACUGGACUGUAACUGA
This 693-nucleotide ribosomal RNA is filed under the name uncultured Lachnospiraceae bacterium. RNAcentral describes it as "bacterial SSU rRNA". It matches the Rfam family "Bacterial small subunit ribosomal RNA", at positions 49 to 743 of the family's 1533-position model. The record is from RNAcentral. Lineage: Bacteria; Bacillati; Bacillota; Clostridia; Lachnospirales; Lachnospiraceae.